UACGUAGGGGCGAGCGUUGUCCGGAAUUAUUGGGCGUAAAGGGUUCGUAGGCGGUAAUACAUGUCAGAUGUGAAAUCUUGUGGCUUAACCACAUCAAGCAUCUGAAACUGUAUAACUUGAGUGGAGGAGAGGUAAGUGGAAUUCCUAGUGUAGCGGUGAAAUGUGUAGAUAUUAGGAGGAACACCAGUGGCGAAGGCGACUUACUGGACUGUAACUGACGCUGAGUCACGAAAGCGUGGGUAGCAAACAGGAUUAGAUACCCUGGUA
RNAcentral lists this ribosomal RNA (267 nucleotides) under uncultured prokaryote. RNAcentral describes it as "partial 16S ribosomal RNA". It matches the Rfam family "Bacterial small subunit ribosomal RNA", at positions 524 to 792 of the family's 1533-position model. The record is from RNAcentral.